GCGGGAGUGGCGAAAUUGGCAUACGCGCCAGACUUAGGAUCUGGUGUCUUCGGACGUAGGGGUUCAAGUCCCCUCUCCCGCA
RNAcentral lists this transfer RNA (82 nucleotides) under Actinomycetota bacterium. Its description in RNAcentral is "Actinobacteria bacterium tRNA-Leu". It matches the Rfam family "tRNA". From Rfam's summary of the family: Transfer RNA (tRNA) molecules are approximately 80 nucleotides in length. Lineage: Bacteria; Bacillati; Actinomycetota. The record is from RNAcentral.